Hypanus sabinus (Atlantic stingray) is the source of this 3127-nucleotide long non-coding RNA. RefSeq lists it as uncharacterized. NCBI's taxonomy places the organism in Eukaryota, Metazoa, Chordata, Chondrichthyes, Myliobatiformes, Dasyatidae. The transcript has 3 exons. The record is from RefSeq and is a predicted model, not a curated record.
ACCAGAGCACCUGGAGGAAACCUACGCAGUCAGUGUGCGAACUCCUGACGGAGAGCAGUGGAACUGAACCCGCGUCUCAGACCUUGUAUUAGCUUUACAUUGGCUGCUACGCCCCUGUGAAAUCACUGAACAGAUUUAAGAUGCCAUGAACUAUCAGUCACCCAGGAAAAGGCAAAAAGGGGACGCAAAGCGGCAAACAAUUGCAAAAGCAGAUUAAAGAAGAAGCUAAGUCAGUGGAUCUAGGUUUAUAAAUGUACUGAAAAGUAGUGGGUACAGCCAAAUCCAUCACAGGUAAAGCACCCCCCCCCCAACACUGAACACAUCUACAAGGAGCACUGUCGCAGGAAAGCAGCAUCCAUCAUCAAGGAACCCCACUGUCCAGGCCUUGCUCUCUUCUCACUGCCUCCAUCAGGAAGGAGGUACAGAAGCCUCAGGACUCUCACCAUCAGCUUCAGGAACAGUUAAUACCCCUCAAUCAUCAGGCUUCUGAAUCAGAGGGGAUAACUUAACUCAACUUCAUUCACCCUAACACUGAACUGUUCCCACAGCCUAUGGACUCACUUUCAAGGACUCUUCAUCUCAAGUUCUCGAUAUUUAUUACUUCAAAGGAAGGGGAGUCCAUUUCAGCGUACUUGACUGAACUGAAGAGAUUGACUGAACAAUGUCACCAGCAUUCCACCAGCAUUUUUUGUGUUGCUUUAUGUUUUAUAUAAUUUCUUUGGUUAAUUGUUGGAUGUUGUUUUUGUGGCAACACACGACAGCAAAUUUUUAGUACAUGUAAAUGUGUUUGGUAAAUAGCGUUGAUCCUAUCAAUCUACUUGCUACCCUUGAGUGACUCACUGUCUCAAAUGCUUCCAUACCACGAACAACACGCAAAAUGCUGGAGGAGACUCUUCAUCAGGACUGGAAUCAGAAUCAGGUUUAAUAUCACUGAUAUUUGUUGUGAAAUUUGUUACUUUGCAGCAGCAGUACAUUGCUAUACAUAAUAUCAAAAAACUAUAUAUUACAAUACGAAGUAUUGUAUAUAAAUUAAAUUCAAUAAGUAGAACAAAAAGAAGAUAAGCAAGAGGGAAGAAUUCCUCUUUGGUGUAGCAUCCUCUAACAAUACACAAAGACUGCAGCGAAGUGUUAAGUCAGCAAGAAUAGGUUCCUGGUCGCAUUUGAAUUCUUUCCCCUUCCUUUCCAGUCCCGAUAAAGGGUCUCAGCCCAAAACGUGAAUAUUUUUUCAUUUGCGUAGACGCUGCCUGACCUGCUGAGUUCCUCCUGCAUUUUGUGUGUGUUGCUCUGGAUUUCCAGCAUUGGCAGAAUCUCUUGUGUUGAUGAUAUCCAACACUACUAUGCUCCAUUGGAGAGCUGAUGACCUGUACAUUUGAGUUCUUGGUUUAAUGAGUGCUUGGUGUAUUUCCAGGUGCGAUUUAGUAGAGUGCCGGGGUUUUAAGAUGCACCACUCUUUGUGGUGAUGAGUCACAAGAGGAACUUCAGUUUCUGAGCCUAAUGUUAACUAUCAGGAUUUCAAGUUCAACUUAUCAUUCAACCGUACACAUGUAUACUGCCAAACAAAACGACGUUCCUCUAGACCAAGGUUCUCAACACGUAAAGUAAUGUUACCACAAAUAAAAUUAACAAAUAAUAAGGCACAUUUAUGACAUGAUUUAAAAAGUAAACUGUAUAACACUACUGAGCUUCAUACAUGCUGAGACCUGGCUGUCCGCAGAGAGUUCAGUAGUCUUAUGGCCUGGGGGAAGAAGCUGCAUCCUAACCUAACAGACCCUGUCCUAAUGCUACAGUACAUCCUGCCUGAUGGUAGGGGGUCAAGGAGAUUGUUGGACGGAUGGGAGGGAUCAUUAACAAUUCUGAAGAUCCUGUGUAUGCAGCGACCCUGAUAAAUAUCUCUGAUGGGUGAGGAGAGCUCCUGAUGGUUCAUUCGUAUCCCACCUCCUGUUCACUCUGAAGAGUCUAGAUGGACAAAUUAUUGACAAUGCUGAGAGCCCUGUAUAUGCUACACUCCCGAUAAAUAUCUCUAAUGGGUGGAAGAGAGACCUUGAUGAUGCUCCCAGCAGUCCUCGUAUGUUUCGAUGGACGAAUCAUUGAUAAUGCUGAGAGCCCUGUGUAUGCUACACUCCUGAUAAAUAUCUCUAAUGGGUGGAAGAGAGACUUUGAUGAUGCUUCCAGCAGUCCUCGUAUGUUUCGAUGUUGGCUACCAUUGUUGAAUGAUCAUACAGAUGUUGUUAAUGACUCAUUCAAUAGAUAGAUUCAGAAAGAGGUGUUCUUGCUCACACUUGUCUUCACAUCUUUUAUCCUGCUGUUCACAGAUACAGCCGCUGUGAGUUCAGCUGGACAAGAUUUCUCGUGAAGCUGCACUGUUACUGGUCCUCUCUGGAUAGGUCGCCUUUACUGACAUUCUGCAGGUUUCUUCUAAAACUCUGCAGUUCUCCUAGUAUAAUACCUUUAUUGCCCCAGAAAUUACAGGAGGCCUUUCAAUCAACACCAAGACGACAGACAGCAUGGUUAUCUCCAGAAAGACAACCAUCCAACAAUGUGUGAUCAAGUUUGGAAAUACAAACAUCAAACAAGUCAACAAAUUUGGAUAUCUUGGCAGCCAAAUAACAAGUGAUGGCAGGUAUAUCAAAUAUAGAAUAGCAAUGAAGAAAGAAGCUUUCCAGAAAAUGAAGACCAUAUUAACAGACAAAAAGAUGAGCACGUACACUAAAAACAGAAUACUGCAGUGCUACAUUUAUUCCAUCCUGACUUAUGGAAGUGAAUGCUGGACCAUUUCCCCAGCAAUGGAAAAGAGAGUAGAAGCAGCUGAAUUAUGGUUCUUCAGGAGAAUGUUAAAAAUAUCACGGACCACACACACAUCAGAUGAAGAAGUUCUCUGAAGAGCCCAAGCAGUUAGAUCACUCAUACCAACAAGAAGAGAAAGGCAACUCAGAUUCCUAGGACACAUCAUGCGGAAUGAUGAACUAGAAAAACCCACACUCUCUGGAAAGAUUGAGGGGAGCAAACCUCGAGGAAGACCUCGUCUUAUGUACAUCAAAAGCCCAGCCAGGGGGCUACACAUCGAGGAAAUGGAAGUCAUCCACAGAACAAGAGAUAGAUCUGUAUGGAAAACCAUGGUCACCAACGU